This is a long non-coding RNA of Ictalurus punctatus (channel catfish), 4049 nucleotides long. The record is from Ensembl. NCBI's taxonomy places the organism in Eukaryota, Metazoa, Chordata, Actinopteri, Siluriformes, Ictaluridae.
AUUGCAUGAGUAGAUAAGACAAGACAAGAAUGAUGGUGACUUUUCAUUUAUGAGCCCACCACAAGGUAGAAUUUACCUGUCUGACUUAUUACUUAUACUGUAUAUAGCUAAUGAGACUAACGUUCCUCAGUAUCACAGGGAAAUCGAAGCAUUUCAAGAUUACAGAACUUAUGAUUGCUGAAAUCAGUUGAGACUGCUCAGUACUUAGGGUAGCGAUCUCAAAUCCUAAAGUUGAGGUAAUAUAUUUAAAUACACCCUGCAGAAUCUGCAAAAUGUUAAUAAUAAUAAAAAAGAAGGAUCAUAAAAAUUGCAUGUUGUUUUUUAUUUAGCACUGCCCUGAAUAAGCUAUUUCACAUAACAGAUGUUUGCAUAUAGUCCACAAGACACAAUAAUGUCAUAUAGCAAGGAAACGCUGGACUUCAGUUCCCAUCAGCCACUGCACUGCACUACAUGUCACAUGACCACCUGCACCUGAUUCACGUUUGUUAAUGAGCACACUUGUGUAUAUAUAGCCAUUGUCUGCAUUUUUUCUCUGUCUUUCGUUUGUCUUAGACGUCCGUAUUCCAUGUUACCAUGUUUCGUUUUGCCACAGUAUUAUGCCAAGUUGUCUUAGUGUCUUUGCGUUGUUGUUUGUUUAAUAAACUAUUUAUAACUGAAUUUACACAAAUGAACCAGUUCAAAAGUUUAAUACAUACAGUACAUGUGCUUGAUUCUUAAUGCUGUGUGUUGUAGAGCUGCAACAACUAAUCAAUAAUAAUCGGUUAUGAAAAUCAUUGUCAACGAAUUUCAUUAUCGAUUACGCGGUCUGAGAAUGGCAUGGGGCACAUUUACUCAUUGCAUUACUCAUUGUGUUCCGAAAAAACUUGUGUCCCAAAUGACCUACUAUGCACUUACACUAUGCAUUCUACCAUCUUGGGGGCCGCCAGGGGGCCUCAACAAUUUGCUCGGAGCCGCCAAGCCCAUCCCUCCCACUAGUGUGUUUUCUCUUUCUCACUCUCAGACUCUCUUUAGCAGAAUACCGGAAAGAAAAAAUCUUCAGUUUACUGUUUAUGUAAACUUUACCUUUCAUGUUCAACAUGACUUCAUUAUGUCAUGUUGUCAGCAUCAGAUGGAGGCGUAAUCGUCAAGUGACAGCGGCAGAAAUGUGCGUGACCCAAGUCCUCUAAGGCAGGGGAGCUUUUUAUAUUAAAUGCCACGAAGGAGACUGUAACCUGCAACAUCCAUCCAUCCAUCCAUCCGUCCAUUUUCUAUACCACUUAUCCUACAGGGUCACGGGGAACCUGGAGCCUAUCCCAGGGAGCAUCGGGCACAAGGCGGGGUACACCCUGGACAGGGUGCCAAUCCAUCACAGGGCACAACCUGCAACAUAGACAUAUAUAUAGGUCCUGCAUAUUUGGUUUUCAAGCAUAUUUGACCCUUUUCCAAUAGCGGUUACAUGAUGUUGAGAUCCAUCUUUUCAUACUGUGCACAACUGAGGGACUCGUACACAACUAUUACAAAAGGUGAAACAUUCACUGAUGCUCAAGAAGGCAACACACAACAUUAAGAGCUAAGGGGAUGUAAACAUUUGAACAGGAUGAUCUGUAUAACAAAUUUUGUUUAAAGAUCUUUUUUUUUUCUUUUUCAUUUUUGUAAUAGUUGUGUGUGAGGCCUUCAGUUGUGCUCAGUGUGAAAAGACGGAUCUCAACAUCAUAUAGCCACUGUUGGAAAGGGCUCAAAUAUGCAGAAGAUGCUGGAAAAGUAAAGAACGUGCAGGACCUGGAGGAUUUUUCUUACGAACAGUGGGCAGUUUAACUGCUCAGGACAAAUAAAGGAUGCGUUAACAACUAUCACAAAAACUAAAAACAGUCGUUGGUCAUCCAUGUAACAAUGCACAGUGUUAAGAAUCAAGCAUAUGUAAACUUUUGAACUGAUAAAUUUGUGUAAAUUCAGUUAUUAUUGUGUCUUGUGGACUACAUGAAACAUCUGUUAUGUGAAAUAACUUAUUCAGCACAGUACUAAAAAAACAAAAUGCAAUUUCUUAUGAUCCUUUUUUUAUUUUAUUUAUUAACAUUUUGCAGAUUCUUCAAUGCGUAUGUGAACUUAUGAACUGUACAUAUUGAACCUGAAAUGGAUUAAUAGAAAAAGGGCAUGCAUUUAGCCAUUAGCUUGAAAAUUCUUUCACUUGUUCACCUGUACACUCUGCUCAAACAUAUCAGUUUCCAAAGCUGAGCUAGUUAGAAAUCUCAUUGUCAUAUAGCGGCAAUGCAUUCUGGAACUUUGAGUCCAUCAUUUUCUGUCUCCACUUCUCGUACAUUGGAAUACUCAUUAAUAUGACAUGGAGCAUUGCUUGGAAAUAGUGAUUGAGAAAAUAAGCUCUUGUUUUAAGAGUUAGCAACAAACCCUGAUCGUUAUCACUUAUGUUUGAGAUUGUUGAAAAUGUUUCUUUAUGCCACUGUAACUGUGCUAGAACUGUGCAUUGAGGCCCCCAUGACAUCAGCAGAACACACAAAUACUAACCUCUCACAGGAAUAACAAAAAUAAAGCGUCAACCAACAAAUUAACAGCAAAACUGCGAAUCACAUCACAAAUAUUUCUAUAUAUUUAUAUAUCUAUAUAUACAAAUAUAUAUUUCUAAACAUAUUUAAUGUUUUUCAGGGUGGAGUUUUCCUUACAGUGUUCUUUCAUGUCACAGAAUUAGUUUUGAUUGUCACAGGAUGCAGAUUACAUGGGAAAAUAUUUCACCAGACUCACACUUACUGCCAUGGGUUUGCAACAUGUUUUGGCUAUUCUUGCUUCUUAUUUUUUCUAAUUUUUUUCACAUAGAAAGAAACCUCUUAUAUUUGUUUUCUUGGUUUAUGUGCUUAGGUAUUUUUUUGGACCCUAGCAGGAACAACCUCAUAUUAAGUGUAAGGGUGUUUACUUUUUACUCUUCUGUUUACUUUGCUUAGAUUGUCAUUUAUUAAAUGUAUUACUGAUUAAUUUUGAGGAGUAGAUGAGAGGAUUUGAGAAUGAUAUGGCAAGAUAUCUAUCACACACACACAUAUUAUUUAAUCUCAAAAUGACUUUAUAGUGCAGUCAUGUUUCCUCUGAGACAUGUCAGAAAUAUUCUGCACGGUCACAAGUCAACUUCUAGAAAUUAUAUUCCUGCCUUUGUUUUUUUUUUUGUUUUGUUUUGUUUUUUUGUAUGCAAGUAUAAGCCUGACACAACUGUUUACGUGCAUGAUCUGGAUAUUCAAUAUUUGCAGUUUGUGUCAAAAUGGAAGCACCAGCUAAAUGGAAAUGAACUGAAAUAUUAAAGGGAUGUGGGAGAGCCAAUCAGUGCUGGAUCUUGUGUAAUGAAUGAGCUCUAUAUUUAUUAUUCAUAUUAUUAUUAUUAUUCAGCAGCUCAGGUAUAGACUAACCAUUUCUAGAGAGGAGCCUAACAUUCCAAUGUGACUCGUGGGUGCUGUUUCAAGACUUAUAACCAGAGUGAGCGCUAUGCUUUUCUCCUUUGCCAGAGCUGACACUGCAGUUUGAUGUAUAGGGAAGCCUCAAAAAACAAGAGUUUCAAGUAAACGGCAUUUUCUCUUGCAUUUAGCUGAGAUAAUGUGUAACAAAGGCAAAGAGAACACACUUGUUGAAUACUGGAGUGUCCAAAGUGUUGAACUCCAGUAUUCAGUUUACACUUUCUAUAUUUAAACACUCCAUGGAGCCUUUCUGAGUGGCUGUUGUGCUUUCAUGCAUCUAGCCCUUCCUGCUUGCAGGAAAGAGUUAAAGAGUACUGAGACAACAAUACCAAAGUUUGGUAAUGCACAUAAACAGGGAAAUGUUUAAAGGGGUUUAUUUGUAGUCUGUUUUUAUUUAACAUGACAUAGGAUAUUUAUUUUUCUAAUCAUGAAAUUAAAUGUGUUUAAAGUUUGUUGUAUAAUUAGUAUUUCUAUGAAUCGGUCAAUCCAAUUAGGAAAUAAAAUGAAAAAUAAUAUUUUGGAUAUAAUGGAUGUCUAAAAAAAUUUAUUUAUACAACUGAUUGUAUUAAUACACAUUGAAUUGUUGUAUUAAUUGUUAUUAUUUAUCAUUAUGAGUCUGCC